Molecule: ribosomal RNA, 279 nt
Filed under: uncultured bacterium
Lineage: Bacteria
Description: partial 16S ribosomal RNA
Rfam family: Bacterial small subunit ribosomal RNA
Source: RNAcentral
UGCCAGCAGCCGCGGUAAUACGGAGGGUGCAAGCAUUAAUCGGAUUCAUUGGGCGUAAAGAGCGCGUAGGUGGGAAAGGAAGUCAGACGUGAAAGCCCGGAGCUCAACUCCGGAAUAGCAUCUGAAACUCCUUUUCUUGAGGAUAGGCGGAGAAAACGGAAUUCCACGUGUAGCGGUGAAAUGCGUAGAUAUGUGGAAGAACACCCGUGGCGAAGGCGGUUUUCUAGCUUACUCCUGACGCUGAGGCGCGAAAGCUGGGGGAGCGAACAGGAUUAGAUA